RNAcentral lists this ribosomal RNA (279 nucleotides) under unidentified marine bacterioplankton. RNAcentral describes it as "partial 16S ribosomal RNA". It matches the Rfam family "Bacterial small subunit ribosomal RNA", at positions 58 to 339 of the family's 1533-position model. RNAcentral also lists the same sequence under 1 other name. The record is from RNAcentral.
CAAGUCGAACGAUGAAGGGGAGCUUGCUCCCUGGAUUAGUGGCGAACGGGUGAGUAACACGUGAGCAACCUGCCCCUAACUCUGGGAUAACGCUUCGAAAGGAGUGCUAAUACCGGAUAUGAGCCUGGAAGACAUCUUCUGGGUUGGAAAGUUUUCGGUUAGGGAUGGGCUCGCGGCCUAUCAGCUUGUUGGUGAGGUAAAGGCUCACCAAGGCGACGACGGGUAUCCGGCCUGAGAGGGCGACCGGACACACUGGGACUGAGACACGGCCCAGACUCC